Molecule: ribosomal RNA, 773 nt
Filed under: uncultured Neocallimastigales
Lineage: Eukaryota; Fungi; Neocallimastigomycota; Neocallimastigomycetes; Neocallimastigales
Description: partial large subunit ribosomal RNA
Rfam family: Eukaryotic large subunit ribosomal RNA
Source: RNAcentral
UCAGACGAUGCGUCAUGCAUAUCAAUAAGCGGAGGAAAAGAAACUAACAAGGAUUCCCUUAGUAACGGCGAGUGAAGCGGGAAGAGCUCAAAUUUGAAAUCUUCAAGGGUUUACCUUUACGAAUUGUAGUUUAAAGAAGUGUUUUCUGUUGAAGUUUUGGUAAAAGUUCUUUGGAAUAGGACAUCAUAGAGGGUGAGGAUCCCGUAUUUGACCAUUAUUUUCAGCUGUGUGAUACACUUUCAAAGAGUCGGAUUGUUUGGGAACGCAGUCCAAAAUGGGUGGUAAAUUUCAUCUAAAGCUAAAUAUUGGCGAGAGACCGAUAGCGAACAAGUACCGUGAGGGAAAGAUGAAAAGAACUUUGAAAGAGAGUUAAACAGUACGUGAAAUUGUCAAAAGGGAAGCGUUUGACACCAGUGUUGUUUUCUCGAAAAUCAAUUAAAAAGAGUUAGAUUUUGUUGUGUAUUGACCUUAACAGCUUGCAUUUCAAUUUUCUUGCUUUUUUUAAUGCACUUUUCGUUUAACAAGUCAACAUCAGUUUCUUUUGUUGUAAAAAGGUCAUUGAAAGGUGGCUUUCUUUUCGGAGAAAGUGUUUAUAGCCUUUGACUCCUGCAAUCGGAGAGACUGAGGUCUGCAGCGUAGAUCCUUCGGGGUUAGAUACAUUUGUGCUAAGUUAUAGCUUUUUAUAGACAACUUGUUGACUAUGAUUAGUCUUGUAGCUUACUCGCUUAUGCUAUUUUACCUACGCUUAGGAUGUUGAGUCGUAGAGCACGCAG